UACAGAGGGUGCGAGCGUUAAUCGGAAUUACUGGGCGUAAAGCGUGCGUAGACGGUUAUUUAAGUCGGAUGUGAAAGCCCCGGGCUCAACCUGGGAAUUGCAUUCGAGACUGAAUAGCUAGGGUGCGGUAGAGGGAUGCGGAAUUCCAGGUGUAGCGGUGAAAUGCGUAGAUAUCUGGAGGAACACCGGUGGCGAAGGCGGCAUCCUGGACCAACACUGACGCUGAUGAGCGAAAGCCAGGGGAGCAAACGGG
This 253-nucleotide ribosomal RNA is filed under the name uncultured prokaryote. RNAcentral describes it as "partial 16S ribosomal RNA". It matches the Rfam family "Bacterial small subunit ribosomal RNA", at positions 524 to 776 of the family's 1533-position model. The record is from RNAcentral.